UGAAGGGUGAUCGCCCACAUGGACUGAGACCGCCCAGACUCCUACCGGAGGCAGCAGUAGGAUCUCGCCAUUGACGAAAGUCUGACCGAGCACGCCCGCGUGAGUGAUGAAGUUUCCGAUCGUAAGCUCCUGUUGUAGGGAGAACAAGUGCGAGAGUACUGCUCGCACCUGACGUACCUACCAGAAAGCCACGGCUAACUACGUGCCAGCAGCCGCGGUAAUACGUAGGUGGCAGCGUGUCCGGAAUUAUUGGGCGUAAAGGGCUCGCAGGCGGUUUCUUAAGUCUGAUGUGAAAGCCCCCGGCUCAACCGGGGAGGGUCAUUGGAAACUGGGAAACUUGAGUGCAGAAGAGGAGAGUGGAAUUCCACGUGUAGCGGUGAAAUGCGUAGAGAUGUGGAGGAACACCAGUGGCGAAGGCGACUCUCUGGUCUGUAACUGACGCUGAGGAGCGAAAGCGUGGGGAGCGAACAGGAUUAGAUACCCUGGUAGUCCACGCCGUAAACGAUGAGUGCUAAGUGUUAGGGGGUUUCCGCCCCUUAGUGCUGCAGCUAACGCAUUAAGCACUCCGCCUGGGGAGUACGGUCGCAAGACUGAAACUCAAAGGAAUUGACGGGGGCCCGCACAAGCGGUGGAGCAUGUGGUUUAAUUUGAAGCAACGCGAAGAACCUUACCAGGUCUUGACAUCCUCUGACAACCCUAGAGAUAGGGCUUUCCCUUCGGGGACAGAGUGACAGGUGGUGCAUGGUUGUCGUCAGCUCGUGUCGUGAGAUGUUGGGUUAAGUCCCGCAACGAGCGCAACCCUUGAUCUUAGUUGCCAGCAUUCAGUUGGGCACUCUAAGGUGACUGCCGGUGACAAACCGGAGGAAGGUGGGGAUGACGUCAAAUCAUCAUGCCCCUUAUGACCUGGGCUACACACGUGCUACAAUGGACAGAACAAAGGGCUGCAAGACCGCAAGGUUUAGCCAAUCCCAUAAAUCUGUUCUCAGUUCGGAUCGCAGUCUGCAACUCGACUGCGUGAAGCUGGAAUCGCUAGUAAUCGCGGAUCAGCAUGCCGCGGUGAAUACGUUCCCGGGCCUUGUACACACCGCCCGUCACACCACGAGAGUUUGCAACACCCGAAGUCGGUGAGGUAACCUUUAUGGAGCCAGCCGCCGAAGGUGGGGCAGAUGAUUGGGGUGAAGUCGUAACAAGUACCCUUAA
Molecule: ribosomal RNA, 1200 nt
Filed under: Bacillus sp. ACM-01
Lineage: Bacteria; Bacillati; Bacillota; Bacilli; Caryophanales; Bacillaceae
Description: bacterial SSU rRNA
Rfam family: Bacterial small subunit ribosomal RNA
Source: RNAcentral